UUCUACCUACGGGAGGCAGCAGUGGGGAAUAUUGCGCAAUGGGCGAAAGCCUGACGCAGCGACGCCGCGUGAGGGAUGAAGGUCUUCGGAUCGUAAACCUCUGUCAGCAGGGAAGAACGGUCACUGUGCUAAUCAGCAGUGAAUUGACGGUACCUGAAGAAGAAGCCCCGGCUAACUACGUGCCAGCAGCCGCGGUAAUACGUAGGGGGCAAGCGUUAUCCGGAUUUACUGGGUGUAAAGGGGGCGCAGACGGCGAUGCAAGCCAGGAGUGAAAGCCCGGGGCCCAACCCCGGGACUGCUCUUGG
Molecule: ribosomal RNA, 305 nt
Filed under: uncultured bacterium
Lineage: Bacteria
Description: bacterial SSU rRNA
Rfam family: Bacterial small subunit ribosomal RNA
Source: RNAcentral